GACACUUUGGCCGAGUGGUUAAGGCGAUGCCCUGCUAUUGGAUGUGCAAUUGUGAGGCAUUACAUUCGUGUGCGCAGGUUCGAAUCCUGCAGGUGUCG
Non-coding RNA from Claviceps lovelessii, 98 nucleotides. The record is from the annotation of a GenBank genome assembly. NCBI's taxonomy places the organism in Eukaryota, Fungi, Ascomycota, Sordariomycetes, Hypocreales, Clavicipitaceae.